This 524-nucleotide ribosomal RNA is filed under the name uncultured bacterium. RNAcentral's name for it is "partial 16S ribosomal RNA". It matches the Rfam family "Bacterial small subunit ribosomal RNA", at positions 28 to 523 of the family's 1533-position model. The record is from RNAcentral.
GACGAACGCUGGCGGCGUGCCUAAUACAUGCAAGUCGAACGAAGCUGUUUUAACUGGUGCUUGCACCGACUUAAACAACUGAGUGGCGAACGGGUGAGUAACACGUGGGUAACCUGCCCCAAAGCGGGGGAUAACAUUUGGAAACAGAUGCUAAUACCGCAUAACCACAGAAACCACAUGGUUUCUGUGUAAAAGAUGGUUUCGGCUAUCACUUUGGGAUGGACCCGGGGCGUAUUAGCUAGUUGGUAAGGAAAUGGCUUACCAAGGCAAUGAUACGUAGCCGAACUGAGAAGUGGAUCGGCCACAUUGGGACUGAGACACGGCCCAAACUCCUACGGGAGGCAGCAGUAGGGAAUCUUCCACAAUGGACGAAAGGCUGAUGGAGCAACGCCGCGUGAGUGAAGAAGGUUUUCGGAUCGUAAAACUCUGUUGUUAAAGAAGAACGUAUCUAAGAGUAACUGCUUAGGUAGUGACGGUAUUUAACCAGAAAGCCACGGCUAACUACGUGCCAGCAGCCGCCGUAA